Rattus norvegicus (Norway rat) is the source of this 84-nucleotide small nuclear RNA. Ensembl annotates it as U2 spliceosomal RNA. The record is from Ensembl. Lineage: Eukaryota; Metazoa; Chordata; Mammalia; Rodentia; Muridae.
AUCGCUUCUCGGCCUUUUGGCUAAGAUCAAGUGUAAAAUUCCUUUAGCCUAAUUUUAUCAUGAAAUAUUUUUCUCUGACCCUCA